RNAcentral lists this long non-coding RNA (948 nucleotides) under Zea mays. RNAcentral's name for it is "long non-coding RNA (ZMAY_LNC002865)". Lineage: Eukaryota; Viridiplantae; Streptophyta; Magnoliopsida; Poales; Poaceae. The record is from RNAcentral.
UUCAUCUUUCUCCGCACGUAAUCCACACAAUACUCAGAUUCUCUCUACAGCCAGAUUCUCUCCACAGCCAGAUUCUCAGAAAAGCUGGUCAGAAAAAAGCUGAACCAAACAGGCCCUGUUUAUGACUGCAAGCUGAUGAAUGGUGGUGGUGGACGUUUGCUUGCGUACAUAACAUGCAGAGGAAGGAAAAAAAAAGAGAGUCAAACGCCGUAUCCUGUACUGUCCGAACCGAAUGCAGCACAGGUACAUCUACUCUACAUUGAAUAUAUACAGCUCCCGGCGUCUGGGGUUGGGUUGGGGUUUGACCCGUAGCAGAGCAGGGCAAAAGCAAAAGCUAAAGCCACUCCUCCUCCAGUGCCUGUCCACUGCACGUCACGUCACAUGGGCACUUGAACAACUGCUGCCUGCGGCGAGGCGAUGCCAUGCCAUCUGAUGAUCUGAUCUGCAGUCCAGUUAAUCCAGCACAUGUUAGUUAGGUUGAUGAGUUGUACUACUCUCUACUACUCCACCAAAGAAACAAACAAAAGAUAGUACAGUAACAGUGACCAUGCAUCUCUCCUUCCCAAGGUGGACGCAUUGGUUGCAUUGCAUCAUCGCAUUGAUCCAGCACAAGGCGCAGUGGCAGUGGCAGCAGGGAGUUGGUUGGUUGUUGAUCGUUGGGCGAUGGCGAUGUCGACGGCGACGUCCGUGCGCGCGCACUAGAUCUCAUGUCCGAUCAAUUCCAUGCAUGCCGGUUCCCGUCGUCCCCGGCCCCGGCUCCAGCUUCCAGGUCAACGAUAGAGCAGGCCCCGCUCCCGUCGCGCCAUUAACAGAGACAGACAGACGUCCACGAGGCCGUCGAUCGAAAUCCAAACCCCGGGGGCCGCGGCGAUGUGCCGGGGAAUCGGGUUCCUCACUCUGUCUCUCUCUCUCUCUCUCUCUUUCUCCCCCACGCAUACGCAUGCAAUC